UACGUAGGGUGCAAGCGUUAAUCGGAAUUACUGGGCGUAAAGCGUGCGCAGGCGGUUUUGUAAGUCUGAUGUGAAAUCCCCGGGCUCAACCUGGGAAUUGCAUUGGAGACUGCAAGGCUAGAAUCUGGCAGAGGGGGGUAGAAUUCCACGUGUAGCAGUGAAAUGCGUAGAGAUGUGGAGGAACACCGAUGGCGAAGGCAGCCCCCUGAGUCAAGAUUGACGCUCAUGCACGAAAGCGUGGGGAGCAAACAGG
This 253-nucleotide ribosomal RNA is filed under the name uncultured bacterium. RNAcentral describes it as "partial 16S ribosomal RNA". It matches the Rfam family "Bacterial small subunit ribosomal RNA", at positions 524 to 776 of the family's 1533-position model. The record is from RNAcentral.